UCCCACAGACCAGCUAUACGCCACCGUGCUUCGCUGUCGGAAAUACCCCACUGACGACGGCCGUCGUCCAAACCACCCCAAAAUUUUACCCUUUCUUCUUCUCAACAUCUUCUCCAUGAAUCCAAACCCCAAAUCAUUUAAAUCCCUUUCAGUCUUCGUAAAUCUAAGCCUAAUUGAAACCCUAGGCGCCGCUCACCACCCCAAACUCCAAAAAUGUUACACCACAGGUCCUCUCACUCUCCUCUUCUCCGUUCCAUGCCCCAAAACCUUCAAAAUCCCUCCAAAAUCAAGUUAAAAUUCGGCCGACUUCCGG
This 313-nucleotide long non-coding RNA is filed under the name Nicotiana benthamiana. Its description in RNAcentral is "long non-coding RNA (NBEN_LNC021498)". Lineage: Eukaryota; Viridiplantae; Streptophyta; Magnoliopsida; Solanales; Solanaceae. The record is from RNAcentral.